GGACCCCCUGAGGGACUGGGGGGGUCCGAGCCGCCCUGAAAGGAGCGGGUCUGCGCCGCCUGAGGGGCGGAGCCGGGGGGUCCCCGAAGGAGGGGUGGAAUGUGGGCCGCGAUGAAGGCAGCCCCAGGGCGACGAAGUGCUCCACCCGGAUGAAGCCGUCCGCAUCCUCGUCGCACACGUCGAAAACCUCCUUGAGCUUCCGCAGGAACCGCAGCAGGCUCGCCGGCUCCAUCGCGGGCAUUAGCUGGAGGCCGGCGGCACGGCCGCGGCCGCAGCAGCCAUGAUCGCCCGCGCCUUCAGCGGUUUUUUAGACUGGUUUUUAAGCCCACAGCCAGGAGCUACCAGGGGGAAAACCAGGAAUGAUUCUGGUUCCUGCCUUGUGCCUCAGACCAGGAAUGACGGGGCAGCGCCUUGUGGAGGAAGGAGCACUGGCUGAGUCAGGCUCAGAUUGCCUUGGAGUGCCUCCUUGCACCGCCUCUGACUCGCCUCUCUCUGUGCAGUUCUGGACAGUGAACUGUUGUGAGGAAAAAAAUAGAAAGGAAUAUCGCUUCCUAUUUGCCAGAACCAGAGGAGGAAUUCCUGCACCCCAGAGGGGGUCAAGCUCUGUCUCAUGGAAUCCAGUUAAUUUCUACUGACUCUCCUUUACUUUCUGCUGAAGGAAGAAGGAACUUGGUUCUAGAUAUACAAAUAAGUGGCAACAUAGAUUUAGACCAAAACUGUCAGCACUACAAUCUGUGCCAUUCUUGCAUUAACUUGUAAGGGGUGGGGGGAGUGGGAGGCGAAGAGAAAAAAAGCUCCAGCUAUAGACACUACAGUUUAGGGAGUUAAUAUUGAAGACUGAAACUGCCACAGACAGCUUGAGCACUGGAAUCAAACUGAUAAGGAGAGAUGAAGAGGCUGUAGAAGAUAUUGUAGACAGCUGAGUAUUUUGAGCAAAGAUCUGACAGCUGGGAGAUGAUUUGACAGCACUGAAUGCAGGAGAAUUGGGAUGUGGGAUGCUGUCAAUAAAGGUCCAAGAUCUGAAAGCUAGGAGUACCCCAAGUGUGUUGAAGACAGGACAUUGAGCUGAACAUGUGCCACAUGCUUGCUGGGCAACUGCACUGGCAGGGCACAGUUUGUAAGGCUGAAUUGAGGAGGAGGUACAUUUUUAUUGCCAGUGGAUCUCUGCUUCUCCAGUUCUAGGUAGAACAUGUCUGCAAGUACCAAUGGGCUCUUUUUCCUUACUGGUUUAUCAAAGUAUUUGUUUAAUCGAAGAUGUUUGGCAACUUCUUCAUUUAACUCAUGCUCUAUGUGGAAUAAAUAUUUUACAUGCUGCAAAUCUAGCAGAAAGAUUGAAAGAUUGUGGUGGUGCUACCAUAUUUGCCUGUUCAGAAUAAAGAGUUCGGAAGGAAACAUUUCAUUCAA
This is a long non-coding RNA of Strigops habroptila (Kakapo), 1404 nucleotides long. RefSeq lists it as uncharacterized. The record is from RefSeq and is a predicted model, not a curated record. Lineage: Eukaryota; Metazoa; Chordata; Aves; Psittaciformes; Psittacidae. The transcript has 4 exons.